This 280-nucleotide ribosomal RNA is filed under the name Blastocystis hominis. Its description in RNAcentral is "partial 18S ribosomal RNA". It matches the Rfam family "Eukaryotic small subunit ribosomal RNA", at positions 42 to 348 of the family's 1831-position model. The record is from RNAcentral. Lineage: Eukaryota; Bigyra; Opalinata; Blastocystidae.
GAUUAAGCCAUGCAUGUGUAAGUAUAAAUAGUUAACUUUGAAACUGCGAAUGGCUCAUUAUAUCAGUUAUAGUUUAUUUGAUGAAGAAUACUAAUUGGAUAACCGUAGUAAUUCUAGAGCUAAUACAUGUAUAAAGUCUUGUAGACUGCAUUUAUUAGAAUGAAAACCAUAGGUUUCGGCCUAUUCGUGAGUAAUAAUAACUAAUCAUAUCGUAUGCAACGAUGUGUCUUUCAAGUUUCUGCCCUAUCAGCUUUCGAUGGUAGUGUAUUGGACUACCAUG